RNAcentral lists this long non-coding RNA (1536 nucleotides) under Phoenix dactylifera (date palm). RNAcentral describes it as "long non-coding RNA (PDAC_LNC005240)". Lineage: Eukaryota; Viridiplantae; Streptophyta; Magnoliopsida; Arecales; Arecaceae. The record is from RNAcentral.
GAGAAGGGGAGAGGUCGGGACGCCGGCGGAGGCCGUAGCCGGUUUUCUGUUUUGAACAACAUAGGGGUCCGGCCGCGGCCUUCAAAAAUUUUGGAUUUCACUUAAAAAUCACAUUUUUUUUGUGGAGUUUUCAAGUUGAUUUAAUUUGUAAUCACUCUUUUUUCCAAUGAUUUUAAGUCUAUUUUGAUAUUUUUUGACAUUUUUUGAUGUUUCUAUGAUCCUGUUUUAACCUAAAUGAUGCAUCUUAUUGUUUUAAAGUGAUACAAAAUAUAAAAUGAUUAGUAAGAUGUUGCAUGCUAUAAGAAGCAACAUAAAAUAUUCUCAAAUCAAGUAGUGAGAUAAAAAUAUAAAAUAAUACAAUCAAUUAUAUAUAUAUAUUUAAAGUACAAUAUAUAUACCGAUAUCUAAAAUCUCGUUGAGUGGCAAUAUCUCUCAUAAAUAUCCGGAUUAUAAGUAUAGUCAGAAGGCACAUCAGCCUGCCCCUCUAAACAAGCGGCGUUGUAGUCUUGUAUGUUCAUUACAUAAGAAAUGCGCUCCGGGUUAUAAAUACUCUCGAAUCUCUCACUAAAAUUCUGGCUCUAAGAGUUGUCCUCUGGCUGAUGAACUAGCUGAUAAAAUAAUUGUGAAGGGGCCCAUACGAAUAAGCCGGAAGCAAAAGGCGGAAAGCUCUCUGCCGCUUAGAAAUAAUUUUCGCUGAGGAGAAGGGCGAAAGACGGAAAGCUCUCUGUUGAUUAGAAAUGAUGUUGGAAAGGCCUUCUCGGGCUUUUCCAACAUCAUUUUAGCAAACAAAAAAAAUGGGAGAGGGCCCAGUUCAGAAUCGGGUCGACUCGAUGCGAACCGUCUGAACCGGCCGAUUUCAAACAGUUCCGGCUGGUAUGGUCCGGUUUAGAUCUUUUUCGGCCGGUUCGGAACCCAUUUCGGAUAGUUUGGAGCUGAAACCAACUCCAAUGGCCAAACCAACCCGAUUUCCCACUAGGUCGGCUCGGUACAGGCCGAACCCGACGGUUCGUCUGGUUCGCACUGAGUUGACCCAAUUUUGAACCGGGACCUCUCCUUUUCUUUGUUUGCUAAUAAAAUGUUGGGAAGGCCUGAGAAGGCCUUCCCAAUAUCAUUUCUAAGCGGCGGAGAGCUUUCUGCCUUUCUUCUUUUCCCUCACGGCCAAAAUCAUUUCUAAGCAGCAGAAAGCUUUUCGCCUUUUGAUGUCGUCUUAUUCAGAUGAGCUCCUUUACAGCCAUUUUAUCAGCCAGUUUAUCAUCCAGAGGACACCUCUCAGAGCUAGAGCUUCAGCAAGAGAUCCGAGAGUGCUUAUAACUCGGAGCGCAUUCCUUAUGGUAUGAAUAUACGAGACUACAACAUCACUUGAUUAGAGGAUUGGACUGAUGUGCCUUCUAACUAUACUGAUGAUUUGGAUAUCUGUGAGAGACAUCGCCACUCGACGAGAUUUUAGAUAUUGGUAUAUAUGUUGUACUUUAAAUAUAUGUAAUUGAUUGUAUUAUUUUAUAUUUUUUACCUCACUACUUGAUUUGAGGAUAUUUC